CUGAACCAAUGAAAGCCUUUCCCUCCGGAGCGGACUGCCAAUCAGCGAGCCCCGAAACUUUGGAGCGGUGACUCGUCAGUGUGAGGGAGCUACGGUGCCGAUGAGAAGACAGCAACAGAGCGAAGCCUGCGAAAUGUGAAACUGUUCCCAUCGGCAGCAGAGAGAAGCCGGGAAGCAAGAACCAGUGCUGGGAGAGCCCGCGGGAUGGGAACCAAUGAUAAACUGAUGGGAGACUGAGGGGGAAGGGCUUGAUGAAAAGCAUAAAGGGCCGGCUUUACCUUAUUGAAGGUGCGAGCAGGUGGUGGGGCUUCAGUUCCCCGGCUGCCCAGCGUGCUGCAGCACACUGCUUUACUUACAUCUCUCUCAAUAAAAAGUUUUUAAACAUGUCA
Long non-coding RNA from Calypte anna (Anna's hummingbird), 389 nucleotides. RefSeq lists it as uncharacterized. The record is from RefSeq and is a predicted model, not a curated record. NCBI's taxonomy places the organism in Eukaryota, Metazoa, Chordata, Aves, Apodiformes, Trochilidae. The transcript is spliced from 2 exons.